RNAcentral lists this ribosomal RNA (252 nucleotides) under uncultured bacterium. Its description in RNAcentral is "partial 16S ribosomal RNA". It matches the Rfam family "Bacterial small subunit ribosomal RNA", at positions 524 to 776 of the family's 1533-position model. The record is from RNAcentral.
UACGUAGGGGGCGAGCGUUAUCCGGAUUCAUUGGGCGUAAAGCGCGCGUAGGCGGCCGCCUAAGCGGAACCUCUAACCCCGGGGCUCAACCUCGGGCCGGGUUCCGGACUGGGCGGCUCGAGUGCGGUAGAGGAGAGCGGAAUUCCCGGUGUAGCGGUGGAAUGCGCAGAUAUCGGGAAGAACACCGAUGGCGAAGGCAGCCCUCUGGGCCGUCACUGACGCUGAGGCGCGAAAGCUGGGGGAGCGAACAGG